UACGUAGGGCGCAAGCGUUGUCCGGAAUUAUUGGGCGUAAAGAGCUCGUAGGCGGCUUGUCACGUCGGGUGUGAAAGCCCGGGGCUUAACCCCGGGUCUGCAUUCGAUACGGGCUAGCUAGAGUGUGGUAGGGGAGAUCGGAAUUCUUGGUGUAGCGGUGAAAUGCGUAGAUAUCAGGAGGAACACCGGUGGUGUAGACGGCUUACUGGACCACGACUGACACUGAGGCACGAAAGCGUGGGUAGCAAACAGG
This 253-nucleotide ribosomal RNA is filed under the name uncultured bacterium. RNAcentral's name for it is "partial 16S ribosomal RNA". It matches the Rfam family "Bacterial small subunit ribosomal RNA", at positions 524 to 776 of the family's 1533-position model. The record is from RNAcentral.